UCGGGAAUUUUGGGCAAUGGGGGCAACCCUGAUCCAGCAAUGCCGCGUGAGUGAAGAAGGCCUUCGGGUUGUAAAGCUCUUUUGUCAGGGAAGAAACGGUAGUAGCGAAUAACUACUACUAAUGACGGUACCUGAAGAAUAAGCACCGGCUAACUACGUGCCAGCAGCCGCGGUAAUACGUAGGGUGCAAGCGUUAAUCGGAAUUACUGGGCGUAAAGCGUGCGCAGGCGGUUGUGUAAGUCAGAUGUGAAAUCCCCGGGCUCAACCUGGGAAUUGCAUUUGAGACUGCACGGCUAGAGUGUGUCAGAGGGGGGUAGAAUUCCACGUGUAGCAGUGAAAUGCGUAGAUAUGUGGAGGAAUACCGAUGGCGAAGGCAGCCCCCUGGGAUAACACUGACGCUCAUGCACGAAAGCGUGGGGAGCAAACAGGAUUAGAUACCCCAGUAGUCCCUGAGCGGGCUGGCAAGGCGCAU
RNAcentral lists this ribosomal RNA (472 nucleotides) under uncultured bacterium. RNAcentral's name for it is "bacterial SSU rRNA". It matches the Rfam family "Bacterial small subunit ribosomal RNA", at positions 355 to 825 of the family's 1533-position model. The record is from RNAcentral.